AGUGAACGCUGGCGGUAGGCCUAACACAUGCAAGUCGAACGGCAGCACAGUAAGAGCUUGCUCUUACGGGUGGCGAGUGGCGGACGGGUGAGGAAUACAUCGGAAUCUACUUUUUCGUGGGGGAUAACGUAGGGAAACUUACGCUAAUACCGCAUACGACCUACGUGUGAAAGCAGGGGAUCUUCGGACCUUGCGCGAUUGAAUGAGCCGAUGUCGGAUUAGCUAGUUGGCGGGGUAAAGGCCCACCAAGGCGACGAUCCGUAGCUGGUCUGAGAGGAUGAUCAGCCACACGGGAAGUGAGACAGGGUCCAGACUCCUACGGGAGGCAGCAGUGGGGAAUAUUAGACAAUGGGCGCAAGCCUGAUCCAGCCAUACCGCGUGGGUGAAGAAGGCCUUCGGGUUGUAAAGCCCUUUUGUUGGGAAAGAAAAGCAGCAGGUUAAUACCCCGCUGUUCUGACGGUACCCAAAGAAUAAGCACCGGCUAACUUCGUG
Molecule: ribosomal RNA, 492 nt
Filed under: uncultured bacterium
Lineage: Bacteria
Description: partial 16S ribosomal RNA
Rfam family: Bacterial small subunit ribosomal RNA
Source: RNAcentral